CUACGGGACGCAGCAGUGGGGAAUAUUGGACAAUGGGGGAAACCCUGAUCCAGCAAUGCCGCGUGUGUGAAGAAGGCCUGCGGGUUGUAAAGCACUUUCGGUUGGGAGGACUGCUUCUAGCACUAAUAUUGUUGGAAGUUGACGUUACCUUCAGAAGAAGCACCGGCUAACUCCGUGCCAGCAGCCGCGGUAAUACGGAGGGUGCAAGCGGUAAUCGGAAUUACUGGGCGUAAGGCGCGCGUAGGCGGCUAGAUCAGUCGGGUGUGAAAGCCCCGGGCUUAACCUGGGAACUGCAUCCGAUACUGUCUAGCUUGAGUACAGGAGAGGAGAGUGGAAUUCCACAUGUAGCGGUGAAAUGCGUAGAUAUGUGGAGGAACACCAAUGGCGAAGGCAGCUCUCUGGCCUGAUACUGACGCUGAGGUGCGAAAGCGUGGGGAGCAAACAGGAUUAGAUACCCUAGUAGUC
This 465-nucleotide ribosomal RNA is filed under the name uncultured bacterium. Its description in RNAcentral is "partial 16S ribosomal RNA". It matches the Rfam family "Bacterial small subunit ribosomal RNA", at positions 339 to 795 of the family's 1533-position model. The record is from RNAcentral.